GGGUUGCUUCCCUCCAAACACCGGGCACCGCUUACUCACGAGCAGCCCCGCCCAGGAGCGCGCUUUGCGGAAAGCCUUUCAGGGCGCCCCUAGUUUACACUGAGGCUGCUCAGGCCUCCUGUUUCCUCCCGAACGAACGGCGUGCGUUUCAACAACAAAGAGUGUCCGUGCCUCGUUUCUCAGCUGAUGAACACGAAGUCGGUCCUGACCUGUGCUUCCUCUUUCCUUCUGACUCAGCUUGUCGGAGGGAGGCCCAGGAGCCCGUGCGUGCACAAGGCAGAUGGCGGCGCAGAUACCGGGCCCUCCCUGGAACUCCUAACAGGUCAGCGUGCCAGACAGAUGGCGACAGAGACUCCUUCCUGGAACCCGUGAGGGACCUGCCCUCGAUGGGAACCCCCGCAGCUCAUGCCCCCGCCCUCACUGAACAGCUGUAUUAAAAUGCCUCACUCCCUCUCGGGGCAACUUCACUGGCCCUGCCCUUUGGGGCCGUGUGCCUCGCCCCGAGUGCAGAUUCAA
This is a long non-coding RNA of Myotis myotis, 516 nucleotides long. RefSeq lists it as uncharacterized. The transcript has 2 exons. Lineage: Eukaryota; Metazoa; Chordata; Mammalia; Chiroptera; Vespertilionidae. The record is from RefSeq and is a predicted model, not a curated record.